AUACGGAGGAUGCGAGCGUUAUCCGGAUUUAUUGGGUUUAAAGGGAGCGUAGGUGGGAUAUUAAGUCAGCUGUGAAAGUUUGGGGCUCAACCUUAAAAUUGCAGUUGAUACUGGUUUCCUUGAGUACGGUACAGGUGGGCGGAAUUCGUGGUGUAGCGGUGAAAGGCUUAGAUAUCACGAAGAACUCCGAUCGCGAAGGCAGCUCACCGGGCCGGAACUGACACUGAUGCUCGAAAGUGCGGGUAUCAAACAGGAUUAGAUACCCUGGUAGUCCGCACAGUAAACGAUGAAUACUCGCUUUUUGCGAUACGCGGUCAGCGGCCAAGCGAAAGCGUUAAGUAUUCCACCUGGGGAGUACGCCGGCAACGGUGAAACUCAAAUGAAUUGACGGGG
This 393-nucleotide ribosomal RNA is filed under the name uncultured bacterium. RNAcentral describes it as "partial 16S ribosomal RNA". It matches the Rfam family "Bacterial small subunit ribosomal RNA", at positions 523 to 918 of the family's 1533-position model. The record is from RNAcentral.